GGAGAGGUACCCGAGUUGGCCAAAGGGGACAGACUGUAAAUCUGUUGGCGAUGCCUUCGGAGGUUCGAAUCCUCCCCUCUCCACCA
Molecule: transfer RNA, 86 nt
Filed under: delta proteobacterium ML8_D
Lineage: Bacteria; Deltaproteobacteria
Also listed under: 1 other name
Description: tRNA-Tyr
Rfam family: tRNA
About the family: Transfer RNA (tRNA) molecules are approximately 80 nucleotides in length. Their secondary structure includes four short double-helical elements and three loops (D, anti-codon, and T loops).
Source: RNAcentral